UUUCAUGAGAGUUUGAUCCUGGCUCAGGAUUAACGCUGGCGGCGUGCAUAACACAUGCAAGUCGAACGAUGAAGAUUAUUAGACUUCUUCGGA
Molecule: ribosomal RNA, 93 nt
Filed under: Anaerococcus sp.
Lineage: Bacteria; Bacillati; Bacillota; Tissierellia; Tissierellales; Peptoniphilaceae
Description: partial 16S ribosomal RNA
Rfam family: Bacterial small subunit ribosomal RNA
Source: RNAcentral